UCCUAGUUAACCUAGGCAGUCUCACUAGAGUUCCCAUCUUUCAUGUUGGCAACUAAUGAUAAGGGUUGCGCUCGUUGCGGGACUUAACCCAACACCUCACGGCACGAGCUGACGACAGCCAUGCAGCACCUAUAUAAAGGCCCUUGCGGGCGAAUGCAUCUCUGCAUUCUUCCUCUACACUUCUAACCUGGGUAAGGUUCUUCGCGUUGCAUCGAAUUAAACCACAUGCUCCACUGCUUGUGCGGGCCCCCGUCAAUUCUUUUGAGUUUCACCCUUGCGAGCGUACUCCCCAGGCGGUAUACUUAUCGCGUUCGCUACGGCACAGUCAGGGUUGAGCCCAACUACACCAAGUAUACAUCGUUUACGGCAAGGACUAC
This 377-nucleotide unclassified non-coding RNA is filed under the name uncultured Chlamydiales bacterium. RNAcentral describes it as "contains 16S-23S intergenic spacer region". Lineage: Bacteria; Pseudomonadati; Chlamydiota; Chlamydiia; Chlamydiales. The record is from RNAcentral.